Molecule: ribosomal RNA, 253 nt
Filed under: uncultured bacterium
Lineage: Bacteria
Description: partial 16S ribosomal RNA
Rfam family: Bacterial small subunit ribosomal RNA
Source: RNAcentral
UACGAAGGGGGCUAGCGUUGUUCGGAAUUACUGGGCGUAAAGGGCUCGUAGGCGGCCAACUAAGUCAGACGUGAAAUCCCUCGGCUUAACCGGGGAACUGCAUCUGAUACUGGAUGGCUUGAAUCCGGGAGAGGGAUGCAGAAUUCCAGGUGUAGCGGUGAAAUGCGUAGAUAUCUGGAGGAAUACCGGUGGCGAAGGCGGCAUCCUGGACCGGCAUUGACGCUGAGGAGCGAAAGCCAGGGGAGCAAACGGG